Long non-coding RNA from Rhododendron vialii, 3193 nucleotides. RefSeq lists it as uncharacterized. The record is from RefSeq and is a predicted model, not a curated record. Lineage: Eukaryota; Viridiplantae; Streptophyta; Magnoliopsida; Ericales; Ericaceae. The transcript is spliced from 2 exons.
UAUAUCAUUUUCAACCCUUUCUUCUGUCAAUAUGUAAUUUCAUAUUUCAAUUUCUAUGAUUUGUUAGGGUCUUCAUCGCCAAUACAGUGCAAUACAUGUGUUGCAAUCUGUGGAAACCUUUUUCUGCGGUGCUGGUGCAACUUGUAAAUCAAAUGCUUCUACAUUUACCCUUGAUAUCACUGCUUCUAAUGAUCAUUUUGAUGCAAUCUUGAAGAAUGAGCUAAGCACAAGGGUUUGUUGACCUUUGGAUCUGUGGUUCCUGAUUUUUAGGGCUAUCUUCUGGAAUGAAAAUAGACGCCUUUAACUUUCAAAAGAACUCAUUUGGGUUGGACUUUUUAAAAAAAUUAAUGUCUGUUGGAGUUGAAAGAAGCAAACUUCUUUCAGAUGCUUCCAAUGAAAAGAUUUGCCUUCAAAUCCAGUAACUUUAAAGUUCUCUCUUCUUUAUUUUUGCGUGUUCAGCAAGAGACUAACUGGACAAAAGGAAAAAUUCCAAUCACAUACGAAGAGAAACCAUUUUUGUACAUGCCGUCUAAAAUGUUUGAAACCUAUAAUCGCAAAUGAACAAACCAUCUUUGAGUACUUCUACUAUUGCUUGGUUGACCAUUUCUUUCUUCCUUUGGUCUGAGGAACUUAUUCUGAAUUUACUGAUUGUUGCUUUGGUAUAGGACUUGCUUUCUAUUCAACGUGGAAUUGGUCAAGGGAUUGUUGUGGCCAAACUGUUAAAGUGAUCACGAGUACAUGAAAAAGUUCGAGGUAGUUCUAAUUUAAAUCCAGCAUAUUUCUUACCACAUUGGUUCUUUGGUAGGAGUGUGAGUAUCAUUCGAAGUUUUGAGCGUUGUAUAGAAUUGCUUCCUUGUUGCUGGUCUAGGUAUAGGUUCUUAAGGAUUAGCAAUAAUAGAAGAGCUCUGAGGUCACUGAUUCAAGUCGAAACAGAGGAAAAUUCAUUGUAAUCUAUUUUUAUCUGUUUAUCUGCGGCUAUUUGAACUGUACCAUGUACUACCUAUAUGGUUUGUGGGUGUCUUCAACUAUACGUUUGAAAUCUUGCCAACCCGUAUUUUUCUAAAUAGUGAUUAAUUGUGCUUUUGCCGUUGCGAAAAAAAAAGAAAAGCAAAAGAGAUAGUAGAUGUGUCGGCAAAUCUUGCAUGGGGCUUUGUAGUUAUUUGUAAAUUAUGGAGAACAAAAAAAGAUAAUAUUAGAUGUAAUUUACUAGGAUUGAAUGAGCUACUAUUGGACCGUAUGUAUUAAUAAGUUCGAUGUGGCAAAGAGAAGUUGAUGACUAGGUAAUUUGGUUUUAGCUUCAUGUGACACCUAAUGUCCACUAUCAACACAUCAUGCUUUAGGAAGCCAAUAUAACCCAAGAGGCAAGAGUCGUCUUGUUCUAUUUUGCUAUGUUGUACAGAGAGAGCGAUAUUAGCAAAUAUAUAUUCAUCUAAUUGGUGUGAGAGGUGGAAAAAAAUAGUGGACUCUUAAAGUUCGAAAAAAAUUAAAAAAAACUGAUCAUUUGGGUUCCAUAAGGAUCUGAUGGUGCAAUGGAGUUUGAUGACAAUGGAAUUUUGGUAUAUAGUUCACGGUGCCAAGAUUUGAUUUGUGUAUUCAACGGCCAUGAUCAUGAUUUGAGGUACCGGGUAGUAUGUGAUACAUUCCUCGCUAAAUCUCUUUGCAAAGAAUGUUCUUUAAUUCUCUUAUAUUUGUACUCAUUUGUUCUCUAAGUUUAUUAAUUCAGUUAUUGUCACAUUUUGUAUCAUGGCAUAGAAAAUAUUUGGCUGAAAGCCAAAGAACAUAUUGGUGCAUGGGCAAGUCCACUGGGUCAGAGAAGUAUGAGAAUGUAUGAAUGACUGCCCUACGGGGAGUCUAGAAAUUAAAAUAUCUCUAAUCCAUAAAAAAGGCAUAACCUUCUCAGCUCAGAUUAGCGAAACUUUCGUAGCAAAUCUUUUUGUGUGGAUAAUUUGCUUCCUAAAGACUUCAAAAACAUGUAUCUUUUGGUGCACAAGGUUUGUUUUUGAGUGCUCCCUAGAAUGACACUACCUUGCCAUCUAUAAAUACCAUAUGUAGUAUAAAAUCUGCAUGUAAUCAGCUAAACUCUAUGCUACUUUACCUAAUCAGUGUAUAAUAUAUGCAUACCUACUCUAAUUUCUAGAACUCAAAAGUUUUUUGCUUAGAGGAAACCGUACGAGCCCGAAACUUCAUAAUAAUGAGAGUUAUCUGGUCAUUAUGAAAAAUGAGGACACUUUAAAGUAAAGAAUUGCUUUUCGGGUCAAAAACAAAUGAGACUCUGGGGGUUGAGUCUGCUUAUUGUUUCCUGGCAGCAACUUGGGUAGUUGGUCUGGGUGGGUUGGGGGUGUCUUGGGUGGCUGUUGUUGUGUCUCGUAUCCUUUGGGCUGGUGUCUUCAGUCAUUAGACAAUCUUAGUGCCUGUGGGGUACAUCUGUUUCUCUGCUGCUACUUCUACACUUUAUUGCUCACUACUGCAUAUGAAGGAUCUUAUUGCAACCAGUUUUUGCAACACAAAGUUACUGCUGAAAAUAUUCUGAAGUUGCAGCUGUAUUCCGCUGUCACUAUAUGUUGCAGCAUUGAUUUGAGUAAACUAUGCCACUGAUUGGAAAAAUGCUGAUCAUGAUUCUACUAUUUUGCUAUCCUUUCAUGCUAUUAGGUGAAAUCUACUGCCAUCACAUGGUUUGGCAUGGCUGCUACAUUACCAUGACCAUGUUACAGUGAAGAAUUGCAUUAUGCUUGAAGGAUUGGAUUUUGCUGAUACUCUUAUCAAGGCAUACUCUUUUGCGAGCUCAUUUAUCUUGUUCUUAAUUUGCGCUCUUAUUCGUUUGUUAAUUUGCUGCAUUACUUGAUAAGAUCUAUAUUGCAAGUUUUCGCGCAUCGUUUCCAAAGUUUCUUCCAUGACAACAUCAUUGCUGAAAUUAUUUUACGCAUGAAUAAUUCGAGUGGAAAGUUCCCUGGCAAAAUGGGCAUUCUUCAGCCCAUUGGCAUCGAAGUUUUACAGAAUAGGUUGAGGUUACAAGACUCUGAUCUUGUCUUUGUUGCUGUUUAAGAUUCAAGUGAUAUUCAGCUUUUGGUGCUUUCUUCAAAUGGGUCCGAGAAAAUGUACUUCUGGUUUUAGUAUGUAACUUAUAGAGAUUAAUGUAGAUCUCAAUUCUAUGUUUGUUCCGCACUAUAUCAAUUUAUGCAUGUUUUCUCUGCAA